GCCACAUUACGUUGAAACACCGGUUUCCGUACGAUCACCGAAGUUAAGCAAUGUCGAGGCUGGUCAGUACCUAGAUGGGUGAUCGCUUGGGAAUACGAGGUGCUGUAA
Acanthosepion pharaonis is the source of this 108-nucleotide non-coding RNA. Lineage: Eukaryota; Metazoa; Mollusca; Cephalopoda; Sepiida; Sepiidae. The record is from the annotation of a GenBank genome assembly.